UUUCCGUAGGUGAACCUGCGGAAGGAUCAUUCAUAAUAAGUGUUCUACUGCACUUUUUAAAAAUAGUACUCACCUUGUGAGCCAUGUUUGUUAGACGCUUUCGGGGGUCUGACAUUUAUACCAACCUUUGAUAUUUUGAACCAAUUUGUCUGAACAAUAUUAUGAAUACUUAAUUCUAAAUACAACUUUCAACAACGGAUCUCUUGGCUCUC
This 212-nucleotide unclassified non-coding RNA is filed under the name plant metagenome. Its description in RNAcentral is "partial contains small subunit ribosomal RNA, internal transcribed spacer 1, and 5.8S ribosomal RNA". The record is from RNAcentral.